AGUGAACGCUGGCGGUAGGCCUAACACAUGCAAGUCGAACGGCAGCACAGUAAGAGCUUGCUCUUACGGGUGGCGAGUGACGGACGGGUGAGGAAUACAUCGGAAUCUACUUUUUCGUGGGGGAUAACGUAGGGAAACUUACGCUAAUACCGCAUACGACCUACGGGUGAAAGCAGGGGAUCUUCGGACCUUGCGCGAUUGAAUGAGCCGAUGUCGGAUUAGCUAGUUGGCGGGGUAAAGGCCCACCAAGGCGACGAUCCGUAGCUGGUCUGAGAGGAUGAUCAGCCACACUGGAACUGAGACACGGUCCAGACUCCUACGGGAGGCAGCAGUGGGGAAUAUUGGACAAUGGGCGCAAGCCUGAUCCAGCCAUACCGCGUGGGUGAAGAAGGCCUUCGGGUUGUAAAGCCCUUUUGUUGGGAAAGAAAAGCAGCAGGUUAAUACCCCGCUGUUCUGACGGUACCCAAAGAAUAAGCACCGGCUAACUUCGUA
RNAcentral lists this ribosomal RNA (492 nucleotides) under uncultured bacterium. RNAcentral's name for it is "partial 16S ribosomal RNA". It matches the Rfam family "Bacterial small subunit ribosomal RNA", at positions 29 to 507 of the family's 1533-position model. The record is from RNAcentral.